RNAcentral lists this ribosomal RNA (435 nucleotides) under uncultured bacterium. Its description in RNAcentral is "bacterial SSU rRNA". It matches the Rfam family "Bacterial small subunit ribosomal RNA", at positions 954 to 1392 of the family's 1533-position model. The record is from RNAcentral.
AUGGGAACGCGAAGAACCUUACCUAGACUUGACAUCUUCUGCAUUAAUCGUAAUGGAUGAAAUCCCUUGGGGACAGAAUGACAGGUGGUGCAUGGUUGUCGUCAGCUCGUGUCGUGAGAUGUUGGGUUAAGUCCCGCAACGAGCGCAACCCCUAUUAUUAGUUGCUAACAUUAAGUUGAGCACUCUAGUGAGACUGCCCGGGUUAACCGGGAGGAAGGUGGGGAUGACGUCAAAUCAUCAUGCCCCUUAUGUCUAGGGCUACACACGUGCUACAAUGGUGGGAACAAAGAGAUGCAAUACCGCAAGGUGAGCUAAACUCAAAACCCCAUCCCAGUUCGGAUUGUAGGCUGAAACUCGCCUACAUGAAGCUGGAGUUGCUAGUAAUCGCGAAUCAGAAUGUCGCGGUGAAUACGUUCCCGGGUCUUGUACACACCG